ACACAUGCAAGUCGAGCGGUAGCACAGGGGAGCUUGCUCCCCGGGUGACGAGCGGCGGACGGGUGAGUAAUGUCUGGGAAACUGCAUGAUGGAGGGGGAUAACUACUGGAAACGGUAGCUAAUACCGCAUAACGUCGCAAGACCAAAGAGGGGGACCUUCGGGCCUCUUGCCAUCAGAUGUGCCCAGAUGGGAUUAGCUAGUAGGUGGGGUAAUGGCUCACCUAGGCGACGAUCCUUAGCUGGUCUGAGAGGAUGACCAGCCACACUGGAACUGAGACACGGUCCAGACUCCUACGGGAGGCAGCAGUGGUGAAUAUUGCACAAUGGGCGCAAGCCUGAUGCAGCCAUGCCGCGUGUGUGAAGAAGGCCUUCGGGUUGUAAAGCACUUUCAGCGAGGAGGAAGGUGGUGAGCUUAAUACGUUCAUCAAUUGACGUUACUCGCAGAAGAAGCACCGGCUAACUCCGUGCCAGCAGCCGCGGUAAUACGGAGGGUGCAAGCGUUAAUCGGAAUUACUGGGCGUAAAGCGCACGCAGGCGGUUUGUUAAGUCAGAUGUGAAAUCCCCGGGCUCAACCUGGGAACUGCAUUUGAAACUGGCAAGCUAGAGUCUCGUAGAGGGGGGUAGAAUUCCAGGUGUAGCGGUGAAAUGCGUAGAGAUGUGGAGGAAUACCGGUGGCGAAGGCGGCCCCCUGGACGAAGACUGACGCUCAGGU
This 712-nucleotide ribosomal RNA is filed under the name Serratia nematodiphila. RNAcentral describes it as "bacterial SSU rRNA". It matches the Rfam family "Bacterial small subunit ribosomal RNA", at positions 51 to 752 of the family's 1533-position model. The record is from RNAcentral. Lineage: Bacteria; Pseudomonadati; Pseudomonadota; Gammaproteobacteria; Enterobacterales; Yersiniaceae.